UACGUAGGGUGCGAGCGUUGUCCGGAAUUAUUGGGCGUAAAGGGCUCGUAGGCGGUCUGUUGCGUCGGGAGUGAAAACUCAGGGCUUAACCCUGAGCCUGCUUCCGAUACGGGCAGACUAGAGGUAUGCAGGGGAGAACGGAAUUCCUGGUGUAGCGGUGAAAUGCGCAGAUAUCAGGAGGAACACCGAUGGCGAAGGCAGUUCUCUGGGCCGUAACUGACGCUGAGGAGCGAAAGCGUGGGGAGCGAACAGG
RNAcentral lists this ribosomal RNA (253 nucleotides) under uncultured bacterium. RNAcentral's name for it is "partial 16S ribosomal RNA". It matches the Rfam family "Bacterial small subunit ribosomal RNA", at positions 524 to 776 of the family's 1533-position model. The record is from RNAcentral.